Molecule: ribosomal RNA, 492 nt
Filed under: uncultured bacterium
Lineage: Bacteria
Description: partial 16S ribosomal RNA
Rfam family: Bacterial small subunit ribosomal RNA
Source: RNAcentral
GAUGAACGCUGGCUACAGGCUUAACACAUGCAAGUCGAGGGGAAACGGCAUUGAGUGCUUGCACUGAAUGGACGUCGACCGGCGCACGGGUGAGUAACGCGUAUCCAACCUUCCCGUUACUGCGGGAUAACCUGCCGAAAGGCAGACUAAUACCGCAUGUUCUUCGAUGACGGCAUCAGAUUCGAAGCAAAGAUCCGUCGGUAACGGAGGGGGAUGCGUCUGAUUAGCUAGUUGGCGGGGCGACGGCCCACCAAGGCGACGAUCAGUAGGGGUUCUGAGAGGAAGGUCCCCCACAUUGGAACUGAGACACGGUCCAAACUCCUACGGGAGGCAGCAGUGAGGAAUAUUGAUCAAUGGGCGGAAGCCUGAACCAGCCAAGUAGCGUGCAGGAUGACGGCCCUACGGGUUGUAAACUGCUUUUAUGCGGGGAUAAAGUGAGGGACGCGUCCGUUUUUGCAGGUACCGCAUGAAUAAGGACCGGCUAAUUCCGUG